ACCCACAUAAAGUGGGUAUGCCACUUUAAGAGAAGAGGUUAAGGAAGCUGGGUGGUCUGCCUGGCCAAUGAGAAGUUUGGUUUCCAGAGCGUCUGGACCAAUCAGGGUGCAGGCUGCCGUUGUGGAUCCCGCCCUUCUCCCCCGGGUCUGCAGUACCGUUGGCUUUGCUCUAGAGAUCCGACGCGGUGAGACUGCUGAGCGGGGCAGCGCCAGAAGCCGUUAGGAAUCGUUGGCUCUUUCUGGCAGUUAUUUCAGCUUGUUCUUCGUAGAUAAAAGUGCCCCACGCAUCCGGAUUGAGACCCACUAUACGGUUGUCUGAAGUGUGUCGCACUGAGAUCGGUCAGGUUUUUUUUUAUACUGGAUCAUUCCUGAAGUGGAUCCCUCCUUUGAUAUUGAUGGCGAGCCUUCCCACCUGGACCUAAAGAGAGAACCAGAUUUCGUCUAUCCCAUUUGGAGUCAUGCUGCACCCUGCGGUGUGGUAGGAGAGCAACAUACAUCUUCACACACGGUUAUGUGUGAAACCUACAACUGACAUUCUCCAUUAUUAUUGUUUUUUUAUUUAUUGAUUUUUGGACAAUACUGUUUGGAUUGUUUUAUUUCGGACAUUGUGACGCACAGCUGUGGUGGAAAUUCUCCUGUGAAUGAAGUUGAAUCAAACCAAAUUGGGAUUAAUUUGAUUAAUCUGCUGACUAAUACAAUUUGGAGUGCAGAUUACCAGGGUGCACCCGAAUUAUUUGAAAUUAAGAAUUAGCACUUGGCCAAGUAUUAUUGUUAUUUCUUU
This is a long non-coding RNA of Xiphophorus hellerii (green swordtail), 781 nucleotides long. RefSeq lists it as uncharacterized. The record is from RefSeq and is a predicted model, not a curated record. The transcript has 4 exons. Lineage: Eukaryota; Metazoa; Chordata; Actinopteri; Cyprinodontiformes; Poeciliidae.